Non-coding RNA from Myotis lucifugus (little brown bat), 73 nucleotides. NCBI's taxonomy places the organism in Eukaryota, Metazoa, Chordata, Mammalia, Chiroptera, Vespertilionidae. The record is from Rfam.
UGUGGUUCUUGGGUGACACCCCAGAAUUGGGCUCCCUCCUCUCUGGUUCCGGGUGCAUCACCCAAGAACUACC